This 470-nucleotide ribosomal RNA is filed under the name uncultured bacterium. RNAcentral describes it as "partial 16S ribosomal RNA". It matches the Rfam family "Bacterial small subunit ribosomal RNA", at positions 28 to 507 of the family's 1533-position model. The record is from RNAcentral.
GACGAACGCUGGCGGCGUGCUUAACACAUGCAAGUCGAACGCUGAAGCACCAGCUUGCUGGUGUGGAUGAGUGGCGAACGGGUGAGUAAUACGUGAGUAACCUGCCCUUGACUCUGGGAUAAGCCCGGGAAACUGGGUCUAAUACUGGAUGCUACAUGUCACCGCAUGGUGGUGUGUGGAAAGGGUUUACUGGUCUUGGAUGGGCUCACGGCCUAUCAGCUUGUUGGUGAGGUAAUGGCUCACCAAGGCGACGACGGGUAGCCGGCCUGAGAGGGUGACCGGCCACACUGGGACUGAGACACGGCCCAGACUCCUACGGGAGGCAGCAGUGGGGAAUAUUGCCCAAUGGGCGAAAGCCUGAUGCAGCGACGCCGCGUGAGGGAUGACGGCCUUCGGGUUGUAAACCUCUUUCAGCAGGGAAGAAGCCACAAGUGACGGUACCUGCAGAAGAAGCGCCGGCUAACUACGUG